Molecule: long non-coding RNA, 2264 nt
Filed under: Lactuca sativa (garden lettuce)
Lineage: Eukaryota; Viridiplantae; Streptophyta; Magnoliopsida; Asterales; Asteraceae
Description: long non-coding RNA (LSAT_LNC003933)
Source: RNAcentral
AUACCUAUUGCAUUUUGAAGGCCGAAAAUGUUUUAGCCCUAAAAGUCUAAAACUCAUGUCUUCUUCCUUUCGUUUGGUCCGAAAUAGCAACAUCAGUAUAUCACGGCACCAGGCCACCACCUAGUCACAUACUCUGCCUUAUUCCUUUCGUUUCCUGGUAGCUUUUCCGGUAAGUCUUCGGUUCCUCAACAACUUAAACAGAAACUCAAUUUGCACCUACAACUCUUAUGUACUCAUCAAUACUUGGCGUUGACUUAAUUGCAUCUCAACAUUAUUGAUCUAAAUCAGUAUUUCGGCUAUGUCUCUCCACUGCACGCAUUACUCUGUUCUGAAUUUUAGUCUUCCAUUUGAAGGAAUAUAAUGUUAGUUAUACUCCGAUGCUUCAAAUUGCAAUAGCGUUUUGGUAUAUUGUCUGUUGAGAUUUCCAUAUCAGUAUUGAAUUCUAUUCCCAAUCUUUUCUGGCGAGAAAAAUUAAAUUUACAGAUGAGGUCUCUGUCAAUAUCUGUAGUUGAUUAUGUUGUAUGAGUUGAACUCGGUGAUGAACUUUUGAUUUUUUUUUUUUUUUAUUAUUAUUAUCUGUUGUGCAUUCUGAUAAUGCUAGUUGACCUUAUGUGUAAAAAGAAACGCGAGUGUGAUCGUUUCAUUUCACUAAAAGAUAAUAGUACAGAUAAAGGAAAUCCGAUUCUUUGCCAAAGAAAAUGGACUCUGAAGAAAUAGAUAAUAGAGCGUCUAAAAUCCAGUAUUUGAUUAGGCACUGAUAGAGUCACCAAAUUGCUGCAACACAUGAUACAACCAUGAAUGAAAAUGCCACCCACGUAACCAUAUAAGCUGCUGCUAAUAUCAGCUUCAAUGGCUUUCUCCUAAAACGAAUAACACCAACUAACACUGCAACAAUGCAUAAGGAUGCAAAGAAUGCAAUGUGAUUGCUGAUUGCAAAGAUCUUGAAUGCUCGUUUUUUGCCCAUAACUGAAUUGCCUUGGUAGACACCACGGGGAGGGUUCAGACCAUUUGUGAAUGCAAUACUGGCUAUCAAGAUUGCAACUAUUGUAAUUCUUCUCCUUGCAUUUUGUAGUGCUUCUUGUUGCAAUUUUAUGUUCUGUUUUUUUGGGUUUUUCUUGUGAGCUUUGAUAUGUUUUUCUUCUUGUUCGGUAGUUUGACUGACCAAACUUGUAUAUCUGUUUAUCUCGUGUCUUUUAUUGUCUAGAAUAGUUGCUUCAAAGUGAAUUUCAGGUAGGUUCAUGGAUGUUGUAGGCAAUUCAGUUUGAUAUAGAAUGCCCCUAUGAUUCCCUACAAUUUGAUGAUUGAUUUUCUCUUCUGAUUCCCGGUUGAUAUAUUCUGAAAACUGCAAUAAAAUCAAAUGAUCAAGGUUAGUGAUAUAAAACAAAGAAAAUCCGAACACUACUAGAACUAGUUAGGCCAUUUAUAUUUCAAAACAAUUGAACUAGUAUUGACUUACAACACAUGAACUGAUAAACAUCUCCAUGCAUGCAUGAAUAGACUUGAUCAUUUUAUGUUUAAUAAAUCAAGAGUGAUGUUGGUUUAUACCUGGUUCAAACCUCCAAUAUGAGCAAGAUGUUGGAUGGUGUUACCAAAUCUAUCGGGUUGAUAAAACAUGUAUGUUGCUCCCUUGAGGACGCCACCUACAAAUUUGAAGGCAUCAAACUGAUUGAAUCUUAUGGUAAGAUGGAACAAAUUUUCUCCAUGUUUAGAGAGAGUCUGGAAGGAGGAAGGAGCAACGGAUGCAAACUCUUCCAAGAUGGCUAGCUUCCCAUGUAUAGCUGCUACAUGCAACGGUGUGUAACCGCUGUUAUCAAAUUGAAAAGCUUGGUAAUUAGAAUCCAUCCUUAGAAGCAUUGAUGUAAUCUCCAGUUGCCCGCUUCUACAAGCACCAUGCAAUGCUAAAGAUCCAUUUCUAUCUUUUUGAUUAGCAAGAUUCGGACAUCUUUCUAGCAACCUUUUAGCAAUAUCUGUGUCAUAUAACUUUUAUUAGUACAACAUUACAUAUAAUAACAAUUUAAUUUUUAUACUAAUAUGGGCUUAUUUUUUACCCAUAAUAACAACUUAUUAAUUAAUAAGUUUUUACUCCUAUCACCGUUGGUCUAACGGUUAAAAACUGUUAUAACAGGUAGAAAAGUCAAAACUUAAAAGGUUUCAGGAAAAUAUGCAUGAGGUAGGUGGAUACCUGGUUGGCCUCUUGAGGCAGCAGCAUAGAGACAAGCUGCAUGGUCAAAGAUGUUCAACAACCAUAAGGAAGUGUAAGUGUG